CCCUUAGAUGUCCUGGGCUGCACGCGCGCUACACUGAUGUGUCCAGUAAGCACCUAACCUCUUCCGAAAGGAACGGGUAACCUUUGCAAAGCACAUCGUGAUGGGGAUAGAUUAUUGCAAUUAUUAGUCUUGAACGAGGAAUUCCUAGUAAGCACAAGUCAUCAGCUUGUGUUGAUUACGUCCCUGCCCUUUGUACACACCGCCCGUCGCUCCUACCGAUUGAAUGUUCCGGUGAGCUCUUCGGACUGCGCGGUCUGCAGUUUCUGCGUUCCGUGCGGAAAGUUGCGCAAACCUUACCACUUAGAGGAAGGAGAAGUCGUAACA
Molecule: ribosomal RNA, 324 nt
Filed under: uncultured eukaryote
Lineage: Eukaryota
Description: partial 18S ribosomal RNA
Rfam family: Eukaryotic small subunit ribosomal RNA
Source: RNAcentral